GUGGUCAUGGCGGAAUGGCAGACGCGCCAGCUUGAGGGGCUGGUAGGGAAUCUCCCUGUGUGGGUUCAAAUCCCAUUGACCGCA
This 84-nucleotide transfer RNA is filed under the name Carnobacterium maltaromaticum. RNAcentral's name for it is "tRNA-Leu". It matches the Rfam family "tRNA". From Rfam's summary of the family: Transfer RNA (tRNA) molecules are approximately 80 nucleotides in length. The record is from RNAcentral. Lineage: Bacteria; Bacillati; Bacillota; Bacilli; Lactobacillales; Carnobacteriaceae.